RNAcentral lists this long non-coding RNA (1174 nucleotides) under Mytilus galloprovincialis (Mediterranean mussel). The record is from RNAcentral. Lineage: Eukaryota; Metazoa; Mollusca; Bivalvia; Mytilida; Mytilidae.
UAGUGCAAUGAUAUGUUCUUUGAUUGAAUAUGAGUUCCUUUUCAUGGGGAAAAAUAAUGAACAAAAAGAAAACUGGUAACAAAAGCCUUUAUUAUAUACUUAGUAGUAAAUACAGAUAAAUUGUAUGUGUAAUACAAUCAAUGGCAAGCGUGCUGUAUCAGCCCCCCGUGAUGAUAUUGAUAUCAGCACGGUUGCAAAAGCUUUAUCACACCUUUAAUCUGUAUGACGUCACGUCAUCGAUUGCAGUCACUGUUGCAAAGUCUUUUCAAAACCAUAAUCUGUAUGACAUCAUGUCAAACUUAUAAUCUGUAUGACGUCAUUUCAAUCCUCCUUAUCUGUAUGACGUCGUCAUGUCACAUAAAAAACAUCUACUUGAGAUAUAUGUAUAUAAUAAAGCCCACUUUCUGUACAUUAAAAACACUUCUCUUAACCCGUCUAAAGAGGACCUAGUAAAAGACGAAAUAUCUGCCUCACCUGCAUAUCUUGUUUCAUUGGCAAUCCAAAUUUCAUCCAGGCCGACAAAAUCUUCAGAACAUACCUAUUUUAUCUACUAUUUUAAAAAAUAAUUAUACUAAACACAUAUGAAAAAUUAGCUCAUCAUCAAAACAACAAUCCAUCAUUAAAGAUAAAGGCAGAAAUCCUUACACAUCUUCAUAGGGAUGGGUAUCAGAAAAAUCAAGCACAUCAGUGAAUAAUUUAAUUUUGGAUGUAACGCGUCUUCUGAUUGGCUGACGUUAUUUUGUUAUCAGACCAUAGACAUAAUUUAGUCAUGUGACCGUGACGUCAUCAACGUUUUUUCAAGGCUUUCUACGGUUUAAAAUGGAAUUUAGAAUUAAAUUAUAAGAAAUUACUGUAAUAUUUUUUCUGUCUAUUCGAAAUAACAUAAAAAAUGUGGUGCACACUGUUAAUAACCCGCUACGCGCGUUAUUCAGUGUGCACCACAUUUUUUAUGUUAUUUCUUCAUUUAUAAGAAAAAAUAUUAGUCAUUCCUUAAAAAUCUACACUUUAGAGAAACAACAAUUUUCAGAACUUUUCAAAUAUUGCAAAAUGAAAAACAUUGCACUAUGAGAUAAAUAUGUUUACAACAAUCCUUAGGUAAAUGGUCAUAUAAAACUAUUAAUUCAGAAAUUAUUGGGAGUUUUUUUAUCAUUGCUAAUAAUGCAACUGAGUGAGG